Molecule: ribosomal RNA, 429 nt
Filed under: Chloroflexota bacterium
Lineage: Bacteria; Bacillati; Chloroflexota
Description: Chloroflexi bacterium partial 16S ribosomal RNA
Rfam family: Bacterial small subunit ribosomal RNA
Source: RNAcentral
UGGGGAAUAUUGCACAAUGGGCGCAAGCCUGAUGCAGCCAUGCCGCGUGUAUGAAGAAGGCCUUCGGGUUGUAAAGUACUUUCAGCGGGGAGGAAGGGAGUAAAGUUAAUACCUUUGCUCAUUGACGUUACCCGCAGAAGAAGCACCGGCUAACUCCGUGCCAGCAGCCGCGGUAAUACGGAGGGUGCAAGCGUUAAUCGGAAUUACUGGGCGUAAAGCGCACGCAGGCGGUUUGUUAAGUCAGAUGUGAAAUCCCCGGGCUCAACCUGGGAACUGCAUCUGAUACUGGCAAGCUUGAGUCUCGUAGAGGGGGGUAGAAUUCCAUGUGUAGCGGUGAAAUGCGUAGAGAUGUGGAGGAAUACCGGUGGCGAAGGCGGCCCCCUGGACAAAGACUGACGCUCAGGUGCGAAAGCGUGGGGAGCAAACAGG